GAGUUUGAUCCUGGCUCAGAACGAACGCUGGCGGCGUGCCUAACACAUGCAAGUCGAACGUGAUCCAGAGCUUGCUCUGGUGAAAGUAGCGCACGGGUGAGUAACGCGUGGAUAACCUACCCUGGUAUCCGGGAUAACAUUCCGAAAGGGGUGCUAAUACCGGAUAAGCCCACGGGCUCUUUGGAGCUUGCGGGAAAAGGUGGCCUCUAUUUAUAAGCUACUGUAUCAGGAUGGGUCCGCGUACCAUUAGCUAGUUGGCGGUGUAACGGACCACCAAGGCGACSAUGGUUAGCUGGUCUGAGAGGAUGAUCAGCCACACUGGAACUGAGACACGGUCCAGACUCCUACGGGAGGCAGCAGUGGGGAAUUUUGCGCAAUGGGGGAAACCCUGACGCAGCAACGCCGCGUGAGUGAUGAAGGCCUUUGGGUCGUAAAGCUCUGUCAGAGGGGAAGAAAUGAUAUAGUGCUAAUACCACUUUAUCUUGACGGUACCCUCAAAGGAAGCACCGGCUAACUCCGUGCCAGCAGCCGCGGUAAUAC
Molecule: ribosomal RNA, 540 nt
Filed under: uncultured Geobacteraceae bacterium
Lineage: Bacteria; Pseudomonadati; Thermodesulfobacteriota; Desulfuromonadia; Geobacterales; Geobacteraceae
Description: bacterial SSU rRNA
Rfam family: Bacterial small subunit ribosomal RNA
Source: RNAcentral